Long non-coding RNA from Telopea speciosissima, 945 nucleotides. RefSeq lists it as uncharacterized. The transcript is spliced from 2 exons. The record is from RefSeq and is a predicted model, not a curated record. Lineage: Eukaryota; Viridiplantae; Streptophyta; Magnoliopsida; Proteales; Proteaceae.
ACCAAUAGAUUGGAAGUAACUAAUGAGAUGUAUGUCAAGGGCCUCCCUCCAUCCAUCCAAUAGCUCUAGAAAAGGUUGUCCACUAUAAUGUGAGUCUGCGAAUGAUGGCUAUGAAGCUUUUAAUGGUAGUAUAUUGGGGACUAAAAGAUGAAAAGUUAGAGACAAAAUCUGAGCUUGAGCAGAAUCUGCCUCCCUCACCAACCCAAACAACCCACUGUCCCAUCCCAAUCAUGAACUUUGCCACCUUUUCCAUAUAGCCUAGGAUUUGUGAAUUGGGCUUGAAGUUGAGAUGCACAAUAUCUUGAAUGUGGCUUUCCAUGCCUAUGACCUCUUUGAUAUGGAGACAGUCAGACAUAGGAGCUCAACUCUCAUAUCGCAAAACUUUCUGGGAGACCCCUUAGUAGAUGGCAUCAUAAGUAGCUCAAGGUUAGUUGGAGCGGAAUAAUAGGAUUUUCUAGAGUAAGUUAUGGUUGGUUGAAGAAGUUGUGACUGUUGUGGUGCAGCUGGCCAAAUAGGUAAUGUAAUCUGAUGUUCAACUCUCGAGUCUCACACUGCUCACAGGCCCAAGGAUAGAUCUGAUCUAAUAUCAGUGAAAAGAAUAACAGAGAUCAAAUCUGAACUAGGCAACAGAACAGAAUGUAGGAAUUUUUCUUCUCAACUGAACAGAAUGUAGGAGUUCAAAAAUAGAACUGAACUGUGAUCAGAUCUGAUGACGAAGAUGCUCCUGCAGGAUGGAGGAGAAAGAAGAGGAGAAAAACAGAAGAUGGGAAUAAAAGAAGAGAAGUAAAGUGAAAACAGAGUGAUGUACCGAAGGAGAGAGAGAGGAGAGAGUAAAGCAAACUUAACUUUCACAACAACACUCAAAUUCUUUUCAUUCAUCUAAAUGCGUGUAGGAUUACUACUCUAUUUAUACAGACCGAAAAAAUGCUUUAGGACUCCUAAACC